CCCUUAGAUGUUCUGGGCCGCACGCGUGCUACACUGAGUGGAUCAGCGGGUCAGGUUGCGCGAAAGUGUUUCCUAAUCUUGAAAUCCGCUCGUGAUGGGGAUUGGCGGUUGCAAUUUUCCGUCAUGAACGAGGAAUACCUUGUAAGCGCGGGUCAUCAUCCCGCGCUGAAUACGUCCCUGCCCUUUGUACACACCGCCCGUCGCUCCUACCGAUUGGGUGGUCCGGUGAGGCUUUGGGAUCUGAGCGGAAAGAGCGUUUCGCUGUUUCUGCUCGGAAAACUCAGUCGAACCUUAUCAUUUAGAGGAAGGAGAAGUCGUAACA
Molecule: ribosomal RNA, 322 nt
Filed under: uncultured eukaryote
Lineage: Eukaryota
Description: partial 18S ribosomal RNA
Rfam family: Eukaryotic small subunit ribosomal RNA
Source: RNAcentral